RNAcentral lists this ribosomal RNA (911 nucleotides) under Botryotinia globosa. RNAcentral's name for it is "LSU rRNA". It matches the Rfam family "Eukaryotic large subunit ribosomal RNA", at positions 38 to 964 of the family's 3401-position model. Lineage: Eukaryota; Fungi; Ascomycota; Leotiomycetes; Helotiales; Sclerotiniaceae. The record is from RNAcentral.
GCAUAUCAAUAAGCGGAGGAAAAGAAACCAACAGGGAUUACCUCAGUAACGGCGAGUGAAGCGGUAAAAGCUCAAAUUUGAAAUCUGGCUCUUUUAGAGUUCGAAUUGUAAUUUGUAGAAGAUGCUUCGGGUGUGGUUCCGGUCUAAGUUCCUUGGAACAGGACGUCAUAGAGGGUGAGAAUCCCGUAUGUGACUGGAUACCUAUGCUCAUGUGAAGCUCUUUCGACGAGUCGAGUUGUUUGGGAAUGCAGCUCAAAAUGGGAGGUAUAUUUCUUCUAAAGCUAAAUAUUGGCCAGAGACCGAUAGCGCACAAGUAGAGUGAUCGAAAGAUGAAAAGCACUUUGGAAAGAGAGUUAAACAGUACGUGAAAUUGUUGAAAGGGAAGCGCUUGCAAUCAGACUUGCACUUGGUGUUCAUCAGGGUCUCGUACCCUGUGUACUUCAUCAAGUUCAGGCCAGCAUCAGUUUGAGUGGUUAGAUAAAGGCUUAGAGAAUGUGGCCCUCUUCGGGGGGUGUUAUAGCUCUAGGUGCAAUGUAGCCUACUUGGACUGAGGACCGCGCUUCGGCUAGGAUGCUGGCGUAAUGGUUGUAAGCGACCCGUCUUGAAACACGGACCAAGGAGUGUACCUAAUAUGCGAGUGUUUGGGUGUUAAACCCAUACGCGUAAUGAAAGUGAACGCUGGUGAGAACCCUUAAGGGUGCAUCAUCGACCGAUCUUGAUGUCUUCGGAUGGAUUUGAGUAAGAGCAUAUUGGGUGCGACCCGAAAGAUGGUGAUCUAUACGUGAAUAGGGUGAAGCCAGAGGAAACUCUGGUGGAGGCUCGCAGCGGUUCUGACGUGCAAAUCGAUCGUCAAAUUUGCGUAUAGGGGGCGAAAGACUAAUCGAACCAUCUAGUAGCUGGGUUCCUGCCGA